AUACCUCCACAUACGUAUGUAUGUAAGUAUGUAUGUAUGUAUGUAUCUCCGGACGUUCGGAUGGUUUAGUGUCAACUUAAACGGGAAGGUUCCCGACUGUUUAAUUAGACACGGCGACUUGUGUCAUUCAUAAAUAACUGCAAUUAUCUACAUAAAAGUCAAGUUUGUUUUAAAGAAAAAUGGCUCGAACGAAGCGCAUAGCUCGACGAUCCACUCGAGGAAAGGGAACCAGAAAAGCGCUGCCCAGAAAAGGCUCUCCUCUUAAGGUUCCAAGCACAAGUGGGGUGAAGAAAUCUCGCCGCUACCGACCUGGAAUUGUCGCACGACUAGGUAUCCGUCAUUACCAGAAGAGUACUGGUGUUCUCAUUGCACCAUUCCAUCGAUUAUGCCGAGAAGUACAUACUUCACGAUGUUUCUGGACACAUUCGGAGGUUUAAUCGCAUUGCUCUUACAGAAAUCCAAGUAGCAGCGGAGGCAUACCUCAUAAAUCUCUUUGAGGACACCAACUCAUGCGCCCACCACGCUAGGAGAGUUACCAUCAAAGUAAAAGAUUUACAUUUGGCUCAAAGAAUCAUAUGAGAAUAAGUUUAAUUUAUUUACACAUUGUACUUUGAAUUUUAAAGAGUAUUUAUUUACUACAUCCGAGAGGACAAGCUUAAAAAUACAAAUAAAAAACAAUUUACCACGAAUUUAAAUGUAGAAAAAUAAAUAUGUCCAUAUUAUUUGUAUAAUAAUAAUUUGGUGCAUGAGUCUUUGAUCGGCGACCAUAUAU
RNA transcript from Folsomia candida, 772 nucleotides. RefSeq lists it as uncharacterized. Lineage: Eukaryota; Metazoa; Arthropoda; Collembola; Entomobryomorpha; Isotomidae. The record is from RefSeq and is a predicted model, not a curated record. The transcript is spliced from 4 exons.